RNAcentral lists this unclassified non-coding RNA (206 nucleotides) under Hevea brasiliensis (rubber tree). The record is from RNAcentral. Lineage: Eukaryota; Viridiplantae; Streptophyta; Magnoliopsida; Malpighiales; Euphorbiaceae.
ACUAAGCAUGACAAAGUUGAAAAUUUAUUGCUAGGGUAUUUGAUUUCAGUAUCUCAAUUGUGGUGUUUUGGCGUUUAUGUAGUAGACUGGUAGUACUAUCAAGAUUUAUUUGCCAUUGAAUUCAUUAACAUAAUAAUUCUAAUAUUUUCCUUCAAUUUCAUUUGUUAGAUGUUAUAUUUUUCUUAAUUCAGUAUUUUCUUUGUCAA